GACGAACGCUGGCGGCGUGCUUAACACAUGCAAGUCGAACGGGAAGGCCCUGCUUUUUUGGGGUGCUCGAGUGGCGACCGGGUGAGUAACACGUGAGUAACCUGCCCUUGCCUUUGGGAUAACUUCAGGAAACUGGGGGUCAUACCGGAUAGGAGCUCCUGCUGCAUGGUGGGGGUUGGAAAGUUUCGUGGGUUGGGGAUGGACUCGCGGCGGAUCAGCUUGUUGGUUGGGUAGUGGCUUACGAAGGCGUUGACGGGUGGCCGGGGGGAGAGGAGGACCAGGUGCACUGGGACUGAGACACGGCCCAGACGGGGACGGGAGGGAGGGGUUGGGAAUAUUGGGGCAGGGGCGAGAGCCUGAUCCAGCAAUGCCGGGGGAGUGAUGAAGGGGUUAGGGUUGUAAAGCUCUUUUACCCGGGAUGAUAAUGACAGUACCGGGAGAAUAAGCUCCGGCUAACUCCGUG
This 463-nucleotide ribosomal RNA is filed under the name uncultured bacterium. RNAcentral describes it as "partial 16S ribosomal RNA". It matches the Rfam family "Bacterial small subunit ribosomal RNA", at positions 28 to 507 of the family's 1533-position model. The record is from RNAcentral.